Molecule: transfer RNA, 85 nt
Filed under: Felis catus (domestic cat)
Lineage: Eukaryota; Metazoa; Chordata; Mammalia; Carnivora; Felidae
Rfam family: tRNA
About the family: Transfer RNA (tRNA) molecules are approximately 80 nucleotides in length.
Source: Rfam by way of RNAcentral
GCCUGGGUGGCUCAGUCGAUUGAGCAUCCGACUUCGGCUCGGGUCAUGAUCUCACAGCUCGUGAGUUCGAGCCUCACCUCGGGCU